GCCAAGGUGUCGUUUGAGAGCUGGGGCACA
RNAcentral lists this non-coding RNA (30 nucleotides) under Homo sapiens (human). The record is from RNAcentral. Lineage: Eukaryota; Metazoa; Chordata; Mammalia; Primates; Hominidae.